AUACGGAGGAUCCGAGCGUUAUCCGGAUUUAUUGGGUUUAAAGGGUGCGCAGGCGGCCAUUUAAGUCAGCGGUUAAAUCGUGGGGCUCAACCCCAUUCUGCCGUUGAUACUGGGUGGCUUGAUUGCGGUCGAGGUUGGCGGAAUUCGUUGUGUAGCGGUGAAAUGCAUAGAUAUGACGAAGAACACCGAUUGCGUAGGCAGCUGACCAGAUCGCAAAUGACGCUCAUGCACGAAAGUGCGGGGAUCGAACAGGAUUAGAUACCCUGGUAGUCCGCACAGUAAACGAUGAAUGCUUGUUUUCGGCGAUAUAAUGUCGGAGGCAAAGCGAAAGCGAUAAGUAUUCCACCUGGGGAGUACGCCGGCAACGGUGAAACUCAAAUGAAUUGGCGGGG
This 392-nucleotide ribosomal RNA is filed under the name uncultured bacterium. RNAcentral describes it as "partial 16S ribosomal RNA". It matches the Rfam family "Bacterial small subunit ribosomal RNA", at positions 523 to 918 of the family's 1533-position model. The record is from RNAcentral.